Molecule: non-coding RNA, 257 nt
Organism: Struthio camelus australis
Lineage: Eukaryota; Metazoa; Chordata; Aves; Struthioniformes; Struthionidae
Source: RefSeq, a predicted model, not a curated record
GCGGGAUGGAUCAGCAUUGAGUGGCUUGCACUGUGUUAAGGAAUAAAUACUAAGAAGGCACAGCUCCUGGCACUGCUGGCCCUGCAAAAUCAGAUGAAAAGUCAAAUGAUGUUCUUCCUCUCACUCUCAAGAAGUCUGACUCAAGUGAGAUAUGCAGCAGGUGAACACACUGAACCAAAGGUGACACAAGACUGGAAGAGUUAAGGCUUAUGAAGAGGCCAGGGAUACAGACCUUUCUGCAGGAGUUGAUAAGGUAA